AGUGAACGCUGGCGGUAGGCCUAACACAUGCAAGUCGAACGGCAGCACAGUAAGAGCUUGCUCUUACGGGUGGCGAGUGGCGGACGGGUGAGGAAUACAUCGGAAUCUACUUUUUCGUGGGGGAUAACGUAGGGAAACUUACGCUAAUACCGCAUACGACCUACGGGUGAAAGCAGGGGAUCUUCGGACCUUGCGCGAUUGAAUGAGCCGAUGUCGGAUUAGCUAGUUGGCGGGGUAAAGGCCCACCAAGGCGACGAUCCGUAGCUGGUCUGAGAGGAUGAUCAGCCACACUGGAACUUAGACACGGUCCAGACUCCUACGGGGGGCAGCAGUGGGGAAUAUUUGACAAUGGGCGCAAGCCUGAUCCAGCCAUACCGCGUGGGUGAAGAAGGCCUUCGGGUUGUAAAGCCCUUUUGUUGGGAAAGAAAAGCAGCAGGUUAAUACCCCGCUGUUCUGACGGUACCCAAAGAAUAAGCACCGGCUAACUUCGUG
Molecule: ribosomal RNA, 492 nt
Filed under: uncultured bacterium
Lineage: Bacteria
Description: partial 16S ribosomal RNA
Rfam family: Bacterial small subunit ribosomal RNA
Source: RNAcentral